GAGAGUGGGCCGGGUGAGUAACACAUGGUGACUGCCCUCAAGGGGGACAUCACGGAACGGUGGCUAUACCCCAUACGCUCGCGUGAUUAGCAGCGGUGAGGAAACCUUCGGGGCUGAGGAGGGGCUGGGCCAUCACUAUUGGUAGGGUAACGGCUACAAGCGAAACGGUUAGGGGCCUGAUAGGUGACCCCCACACGGGCACUGAUACACGGGCCCGACUUCUACGUGAAGGCAGCAGUGAUGGAUAUUGCCCAAUGGACGGAAGUCUGAGUGCAGACAACGCCUGCGCUGCGUGGCAUGAAGUGCCUUCGGUGUUGUAAACCGCUUUUCUGCGCGAAGAGGAAAGACGGUAGCGCAGGAAGAAGUCUCGGCUAACUACGUGCCAGCAGCCGCGGUAAAACGUAGGAGGCGAGCGUUAUCCGGAUUUACUGGGUGUAAAGCGCGUGCUGGCGGUCAUGUAAGUGGUGCGUGAGAUCGCCCGGCUCAACCGGGCGAGGCCGUGCCAAACUGCGUGACUGGAGGCAGGUAGAGGCGCGUGGAAUUCCGGGUGUAGUGGUGAAAUGCGUAGAUAUCCGGAGGAACACCAGUGGCGAAUGCGGCGCGCUGGGCCUGACCUGACGCUAUGACGCGAAUGCAUGGGGAGCGAACGGGAUUAGAAAGCCCGGUAGUCCAUGCUGUAAACGCUGCAGACUACGUGU
This 698-nucleotide ribosomal RNA is filed under the name uncultured organism. RNAcentral's name for it is "bacterial SSU rRNA". It matches the Rfam family "Bacterial small subunit ribosomal RNA", at positions 93 to 823 of the family's 1533-position model. The record is from RNAcentral.